GACGAACGCUGGCGGCAGGCCUAACACAUGCAAGUCGAACGCCCUGGCAACAGGGAGUGGCAGACGGGUGAGUAACGCGUGGGAACGUGCCCUUCGGUUCGGAAUAACUCAGGGAAACUUGAGCUAAUACCGGAUACGUGCGAGAGCAGAAAGAUUUAUCGCCGAAGGAUCGGCCCGCGUCCGAUUAGCUAGUUGGUGAGGUGACGGCUCACCAAGGCGACGAUCGGUAGCUGGUCUGAGAGGAUGAUCAGCCACACUGGGACUGAGACACGGCCCAGACUCCUACGGGAGGCAGCAGUGGGGAAUAUUGGACAAUGGGCGCAAGCCUGAUCCAGCCAUGCCGCGUGAGUGAUGAAGGCCCUAGGGUUGUAAAGCUCUUUCGCCAGGGACGAUAGUGACGGUACCUGGAUAAGAAGCCCCGGCUAACUUCGUGCCAGCAGCCGCCGCGG
This 449-nucleotide ribosomal RNA is filed under the name uncultured bacterium. RNAcentral describes it as "partial 16S ribosomal RNA". It matches the Rfam family "Bacterial small subunit ribosomal RNA", at positions 28 to 523 of the family's 1533-position model. The record is from RNAcentral.